RNAcentral lists this ribosomal RNA (466 nucleotides) under uncultured bacterium. Its description in RNAcentral is "bacterial SSU rRNA". It matches the Rfam family "Bacterial small subunit ribosomal RNA", at positions 339 to 797 of the family's 1533-position model. The record is from RNAcentral.
UUACGGGAGGCAGCAGUGGGGAAUUUUGGACAAUGGGGGCAACCCUGAUCCAGCCAUUCCGCGUGAGUGAAGAAGGCCUUCGGGUUGUAAAGCUCUUUCGGCAGGAACGAAAAGGCGGGCUCUAACAUAGCCUGUCAAUGACGGUACCUGAAGAAGAAGCACCGGCUAACUACGUGCCAGCAGCCGCGGUAAUACGUAGGGUGCGAGCGUUAAUCGGAAUUACUGGGCGUAAAGCGUGCGCAGGCGGCUUUGUAAGACAGGUGUGAAAUCCCCGGGCUUAACCUGGGAACUGCGCUUGUGACUGCAAGGCUUGAGUGCGGCAGAGGGGGGUGGAAUUCCACGUGUAGCAGUGAAAUGCGUAGAGAUGUGGAGGAACACCGAUGGCGAAGGCAGCCCCCUGGGUCGACACUGACGCUCAUGCACGAAAGCGUGGGUAGCAAACAGGAUUAGAUACCCGUGUAGUCCG